UUUUUUUUUUUUUUUUUUUUUUUUUUGUAAUGACCACACCCAUAGCACAUGGAAGUUCCCAGGCCAAGGAUUGAAUCCAAGCUGUAGCUGUGACCUACACCACAGCUGCCAGCAAUGCUGGAUCAUUUAACCCUCUGUGCUGGGCCAGGGAUCAAACCUGCACCUCUGAAGUGACCUGGGCCACUGUAACCAGAUUCUUAACUUCUGUGCCACAGCGGGAACUCCUGUCCGGGCUUUUUAUGUGAUUCAUUUCCACGAGUUACGGACAGAUGGAUGGUUGUCACUGGGUCUUUCUUGCAGAGAGCUCGAAGGAAAUUCUACACAGCAAGGAGGCUGGGAGCUUUCUUUGGUAUUUAUUUUGGUGGCAGUUUGCAUCCCUCCAUCCCUUUGGUGCCCCCCAUUCUCUCCCCACCUGCGUCCCCCACAAGACUCUCAGGACAGGUCUCCAUUGGUCUGUAUCCCAAGGCUCCCAUGCUUGUCACAGCAACAUCUCUUACAUUUCUUAGAAAGAAAUUUAUCCUAAGCAGCAACAUCCUGGAAACAUAACUAGUUUCUACCACUGGCUUCAUGAGAGAAAGGAAGUUCACGACAUUACACAAGGAAAUUGUUAAUGUUGAGAAAUAAACUCUUAUAUUGACCUUCUGAUGUAAGACAAAACUUUCUGAUGGGGGGUGGGCAGGCAUGCUUGGUUGAGGCAAAUGCCAGCAUUUCUCCACCAGCUCCAUCACUGGACCAUGAGGAAAAAAAAGGAAUCCUCAAUCUCACAGCUGCUUAGUUCCCGACAGCUCUUAUCAUGGUUCAUUUCCAUCCUCAAGGUUCUGCAGCCAGAAGCAGAGAGGCCCCACCAGCCAGAAGGACUGUCCCUUUCCUCAGGUCUAUUAGCCUGUUUACAGGACAGCUUCAUUCCCUGGCCAGCCAGAGGAAAUCUUCCCACGCUCCUCACCCACCAAGUUUCUUCCAUUGCAAAAGCAAAUGCCUCUUGCAAAAAACAUUCAUCUGUUCUCACGGCUUCCCCAGGCAGAGGUACUGUGCCUGGGAAAAUAGCCCAUCCCCAUAGCUCAAGAGAGGCAAGGGAAAGCCCGGGGGAGAACAAGCCAGGGGGAAAAAAAAAUGUGGCUUAAAAAAAAAAAAAAAUACAGACACACACAUGCCAGAAAACAGCAAGUGUCGGAGAAUAUGUGGAGAAAUUGGAACCCUUGUACAUUGUUACUUGGAAUGUAAAAUGAUGCAGGCAGUAUGGAAAACAAACUUAAAAUAGAAUUUCCAUAUGAUCCAGACCUUCCCCUUCUGGGUAUACCCCCAAAAAAUUGAAAGUAGUCAAAGAUAUAUUUGUUCUCCCAUGUUUGUUGCAGCUAAUUCGCAAAAACCAAAAGAUGGAAGUCACCCAGUGGCCAUGGCAGAUGAAUGGAUACGCAAAAUGUGGUCUAUACAUUCAGCCUUAAACUCGAAACAAGAUUCUGAAGCAUGCUAUGAUGGGCAUGAACCCUAAGGACAUGAUGCUAAGGGAAAUCAGCCAAUGACAAGAGGACAAAUCCUGUCUGAUUCCCUGUAUAUGCAGCACCUAGAGUGGUCAAAAUCCUAGAGACAGGAAGUAGAACACUGGUUGCCAGGAGCUGGGGGUUGAGGGAAUGAGGAGUUAUUGCCUAAUGAGUACGGAGUUUCAGUUGCAAGGACGAAAACAGUUCUACAGACAGAUAGUCACAAUAUUAUGACUGUAUUUAAUGUCACAGAGCUAUACACUUAAAAAUGGUUAAGAUGUGGAGUUCCCGUGUGGCUCAGUGGGUUAAGAAUCCAACUAGUAUCCAUGAGGAUGCAGGUUCUAUCCAUGGCCUCACUCAGUGGGUUAAAGGACCCAGCAUUGCCCUGAGCUGCGGUGUAGGUCACAGAAGUAGCUCGGAUCCCACAGUGCUGUUGGGAUCUUCAACCCACUGAGCGAGGCCAGGGAUCAAAACUGCAUCCUUACAGAGACAACGUUGGGGCCUUAACUCACAACGGGAACUCCUUUAGCCUUCAUUUUAUUUUAUUUUUAUUAAUUGCUUUUUAGGGCCGCACCUGAAGUAUAUGGAGGUUCCCACGCUACAGGUCUAAUCGGAGCUACAGCUGCCAGUCUACACCACAGCCACAGCAAUGUCAGACCCGAGCCACAUCUGCGACCUACACCACAGCUCACAGCAACGCUGGAUACUUAAUCCACUGAGUGAGGCCAGGGAUUGAACCUGAGACUUCAUGGUUCCUAGUCAGAUUUGUUUCUGCUGCACCACAAUGGGAACUCCAUAGCAUUCAUUUUAUUUAUUUAUUUAUUUUGUCUUUUUGCCAUUUCUUGGGCCGCUCCCGUGGUAUAUGGAGCUUCCCAGGCUAGGGAAGCGUAUCUGGCCUUGAUGUAGGAGAUGGACAGAGGAUGCUGUAGCCAGAGCAGUGGCUGGCGGGGGAAGCAGAAGAGAUCAUCAGAGAUGAGGAGUGAAACUCACAUCGAGGUUGCCCCCUGGCACCAAAGAAAGGAUGGCAUGAAACAGGAAUGGAGGAGGCGGGGACAUGGCCUGGGAAAGAGGAGCUGGUGUGUGGCACGUGUAUUCGCAGGGCCGGGACCCUAGAAAGAAGAUGCCCUGUAGAUGCACAAACCAGGGAGUGGGUGGGGCAGGCAAACUGGGGUUAGAAAUCCAGCUGUGGGGUCCGCCCUGCAGUUGUGGGGGGUGUGGGCAAGAAGGACUCUCCCCAGGGGGUGUGGGAAGGAGAUGCGGGGAUGGAGUGAGCUCCAGGGAGCCCACCCACCACUUAGUCAGCAUAUGAACAGCCCCACCCCGUGUCUCCAGUCUGCAUGGGAACUCUGCAGAGUGGGUGAUUUUGCCCCCUUUUAUAGAUAAGUCGACUGAGGCUUGAGAAACCACGUUUCUUGUCCAAGGUCAGAUGCUAUCUGGUGGCAGAUCUGGGUCAAGACCUAAGCCCAUGGGCGUCUCCAGCUGGGCCCUUCCUCCUAGUGCAAAGGCUGGACCUUCCCAGCCUUCAAUGAGAUGUUUACACUCAGAACAAAUGAGAUUGGGGCUGGGUUUUAGUUCCUGGGUUACUUUUAGUUUCCUGAGAACUUAGUGCAUCUGUGUUUGGGAGAGGAUGGGGGAUAAACAAAGCGAUUUUCAGGUUCCGGGCAAGUUGUAAAAUCCAGGGACGAAUAAGCAGUGCAAAGCUGGCUUGAGCCCUGGGUCACUUCUUCAAAGGUUCAGCUACUCUGCUGCAACCCAGAGACCCAGACUCAGGACAUCGGGAUAAAUCUGAGUGUGGGCGCACAGACAGGGCGCCCACAAGGGUGAGUCCUGUCUCUUUAGGCAACAGGCCUCAGAGGUGCUUCUGAGCACGUAACUUCUUUCUCACUGGCUUGCUUUAUUUAUUUACUUAAUUAAAAUCAAUACCACAGUGAUGAAAACAGCAGGCUUUGCAAAGCACAAGAAGUCCUCGGAAUCUUUGUCUCUCUUCCCACAUCUGCAGAGGGAUGCAAGUACAUUUCCCUAGGGCUUCAGUUCACUCUCUGUAAAUAAAGCUAAGCCAGUCACUCACACAUCCCCAUAGCCAGGAUCAGACGUCUUAGAGGAAAUUUGCUUGUUACACCCUUGAAUGAGCUCAUAAGGCGUGGUGGAGAAGGCAUCUGUCACCCGAAAUGUGGGAGUCCCCUUUCACAUGGUGGAUCUGUGGCCCACAACUCCUGGGCCAGCCCCACUGCAAUUUGCUGGGGUCCCCCUGUGUCCAGUUCUUUCCCACGGGAGGGGGAGGCUACAGGAAGUCAAGUCAGUCCCAUCCAGGCCAAGCCUUUUGAGAAACCGGCGGGGUUUCUCCAACUCUCCCAUCUGCUGGCUGGAGACAGAGGCCUCUGAGGCUCAGACAGGUGGGCAAAUGUGCGGAGCCAGGGUCUCUGAAUCACUUGAGAAAAGAGGGGCCUGACCUGCAGGAGUCACAUUGCCGGGUUGUUCUAGAGUCUUAAGUCACUGGUAUGUAGAGGGUUAUUUAUAGCUUCUGUGUGACUCUAUCAGAUACAUCUGUAGGUCUAUAAAUGUAUUUACAGACAUGGUGGGGGUGGGUGCACUUUCUGUAGACUCUCUGAGACACCAGUGGAGUCUUUUUUGGAGGCAGUGCCUUCAGCAUGCAGAAGUUCCUGGGCCAGGGAGGAAACCAUGCUGGAUCCUUAACUACUAGGCCACCAGGAAACUCCCAGUGAAAGUUGUUACUAAGUCAAUUGCAUUUGCAUCACAGGAGGGUUCCUAACCAUACAAAUGAUUUGCUGCAGGAUAGCACCUCACCCCCCCUCACCCCAUGCUCUGCAGUGCAAUUAAAAUAUCAUUCUGUUUACAGAUGCUGAUUUCCAUACAGCUUGAGAACAGGCUACCCACGUCAUGAAUGUGUAGGCUGAUUUGCACAGAAGCCGGGGAGGGCCCUGGCUAACUCUGGAUUGCUGAGGCCUUUCCCCCAUCCCCUGCCUCCAAGCCGAUGAGGCCAGGGCAGGUUUCCUCCACAACCACGCAUGGCGCUUCCCACGGCCGUGGGAUCUGAAGCAUGAUGGAAUCCCUGUGAGGCUGUUUCUUCCCGGGCCCUAUAGCACGGAUGAGAAGUCCACACACAAGAAGUCAUAGAGGAGUUCCCCUCGUGUUUUAGUGGAAACGAAUCUGACUAGCAUCCAUGAGGACACAGGUUAGAUCUCUGGCCUUGCUCAGCAGGUUAAGGAUCUGUGAGCUGUGGUGUAGCUUGCAGGUGAGGCUCAGAUCCCACAUUGCUCUGGCUCUGGGUAGGCCAGUGGCUACAGCUCCAAUNNNNNNNNNNNAAAAAAAAAAAAAAAAAAAAAAAAAAAAAAAAGUCGUAGAAACAGCAGAGUGUGGAUUUGAGCUGCAGUGAAGUCACCUCUUGGAGGCGAGCAGGGAAGGUUUCCAGGCUUUUCCUUCUAGAAUAGGAGACUGAGGGCCUGUGAGGAACACAUGGGCACAAGGACCCUGGGGCGAGUGCAGCUGGGGGCCUGGGAGUUGAGGCUGAAGAUACAAGGGUAUGAAGCCAGUGUGUGUGCAGCUGAGACAGAGGCUGGUGGGAGGGAUGCGGGGGAGGAAAGAGAGUCUAAGAAUGACAGUUACGGCGAGGUCACACCAAGGUGACAAAGCAAAUUUAGUGAAAACUCAAGGCAGUCAAGCUAGGGUAAGUGGGUAAAUCCAAGAAAAAGAAUGGAUCCUAAGAACUGAAGACCUUUAAAUCCGUUAGUUGUUUAUAAAGACAGAGUAAAAAUACAAAGAAGGAUAGGAUGUUAAAACACAUCUGUUUUUAUAGGAAUUCCCAUUGUGGCUCAGUGGGUUAGGAACCUGACUAGUAUCCAUGAGGAUGAGGGUUCUAUCCCUGGCCUCACUCAGUGGGUUAAGGAUCCAGCAUUGCCACAUAACUAUGGUGUAGGUCACAGACAUGGUUCGGAUCUGGUGUUGCUGUGGCUGUGGUGUAGGCUGGCAGCUGCAGCUCCGAUUCGACCCCUAGCCUGGGAACCUCCAUAUGCCACAGGUGCAACCCUAAAAAUAAAAAAUAAAAUAAAACAUGUUUUUAUCUAGAUUUGGGGCAGGGGAUGUUGUUUGUUCCUUUUUUUAUGAAACAAAAAAGUGGUUGCAAGUGUAAGCCACUGCCAGAAUUGCAGUUAGGUUCAUAACUCAGUUCCAAAUAUUCUGCUAAAACACCCUGUUGGUCCUGAUGACAGACAGAGACAUCUCGUCUCAGAUUUCCCUCAGAAAGCCUGCAGACUUAGCCCCACAUCUGGCCAGCUCCUGCCAGCUCCUGGCUGCAGAAUGCCAUUCUGUCUAUAAUCCUCCUUCUUGCUCCGUAAACAAAGAGGCAAGGAAUUGAUCUGACCAAGGGCCCCCAAACUAUAGAUAUAUUGCCAAACAAUUAUGAAAAAGCCAAGCAAGUUUUUUUUUGGGGGGGGGGCUUGCUUGUGGCAUGUGGAAGUUCCUAGACCAGGAAUUGAACCUGUGCCACAGCAGUAACCCAAGCCACAGCAGUGACAAUACCAGAUCGUUAACCCGCUGAGCCACCAGGGAACACAAGUUUUCAAAUACUCAGCCCCUAACCAUGUUUAACUACAAAAUCACCAAAGAAGAGAUUCGAAGAGCCAUAGAAAUAAGCUCUGAACAGAGUGAGAGUAUUAAGUGUCCUUCCUGUGUCUGGUCUGCAGCAGUGUUUCUCAGCAUCUCAAAAGCCCAUGAGCAUGCAGAUCCCCUGAGGAUUCUGAUGCUGAAGGUCUAGGGGGAAACCCAGGAUGCUGCCUUUCUGUCAAGCUACCAGGAGAGGCCGUUGCUGCUGGCCCAACCACCGCACAUCGAGAAGCAAGGGUCUAGAGCAAUUCGGAGGCUAAUUAAGAGCUAUAGAUAUUAGAGGCACAGCUUCUGAUCUGGGACUUGAGGUGUGCCAAGAAACUGUGGCACUGACAGAGCUCUGCCCCCAUUCUGAAACUGUCAAGGGUUUUACACACACACACACACACACACACAUGCUUUUGCUCACAUACAUGAAGGAAUCUAUUCAAAACCUAUGCUAAAAUUUUUUUAUUCACACCCUGCCACACACGGGUCACACAUUCAGUCUGGAAGUUUGAACAUUAAUUCUUGAAGUUUCUUUUUGAGUCUCAAUCACAGGAGGAAAUUUUAAAAGCAAACGUCUAAAAUAUGGACUGAUAUCCAGGCAGAUGUGCCAAGUCUCUGAAUACCAAGAACCUCGGCAGGUGGGCAAUGGGGUUUUUAAUCGAUAUUAACAUGCCCCAUGGCACUCAGGUGUUCAACGCCUGAGCCCCCAAAAUGAGUGUGAUUAUCUCGUUCUUCUUAAAUCUGACAGCUGAUGACUGCCAGCCACAUGAAGUGUCCCAGACACCAGGGGAGGAGAUUCAAGGACACUGAGUCUGGGUCAGAUCCCAACACGCCUUUCUCUAAUCCCUCGAGUUAAUGGCCACCUUGAAUUACCUUGGCACUUACAGGGAGGGGCUGUUCUCCAACCUCCAACCAUGUCAUAAGAUCUUCAAACUGAAAAGACUUCCAUGAAAACGGGAUUGGUAUAUGCACACUGUGGUCUGUGGAGGGAUUGUCCAAUGGGGACCUGCUGUAUAGCACAGGGAACUCUACCCAAUAUUCAGUGCUAAGCUGUAUGGGAAAAGAACCUGAAAAAAAAAAAUGGAUGUGUGUAUAUGUAUAACAGAAUCACUUUGUUGUAGAGCAGAAAUUAUCACAAUGUGGUAAGUCAACUAUACUUCAGUAAAACUUUAAAAAAUAAAAAAAAAUGUGAUUUAUCAAUUAGGAAAGUUAACAGCAACCUUUCUUUGAAUAUCUGCUUUGUUUAGAAUUUAAGUUACGUUUGCAUUUUUUUUAAUCAAGCAGUUCAUCCAUACUCAGAAUGAAACAAAACAGAACAUGUGGCCAAACAGGAGCCCUUAUCAGAAAAAAAGCAGGGCUGGAGCAGACACAAACUCAUACUGAACUUGGGAAUCAGUCACUGGGCUGUGGUGGAGAGUACAUGGUGCCCUCUGGGACCUACAUAGGUUCAAAUUUCCCAGUUACCAUUUAAGAGUGCCUGACUUUGGACUAGUCAUUUAGCCUUGUGAACAUCUUAUCUCCUUCACUGGGUCACCAUUAAGAUGGAAUGAGAUAUGGGGAGUUCCCUGGUAGCUCAGCAGGUUAAGGAUCCAGCACUGUCAGUGCUAUGGUGUGGGUUUGAUCUCUGGCCCCAGGAACUUUCGAAUGCCACAGGUGAGGCCAAAAAAAAAAAAAAAAAAAAAA
Molecule: long non-coding RNA, 7769 nt
Filed under: Sus scrofa (pig)
Lineage: Eukaryota; Metazoa; Chordata; Mammalia; Artiodactyla; Suidae
Description: lncRNA (ENSSSCG00050069723.1)
Source: RNAcentral